Molecule: ribosomal RNA, 440 nt
Filed under: uncultured bacterium
Lineage: Bacteria
Description: partial 16S ribosomal RNA
Rfam family: Bacterial small subunit ribosomal RNA
Source: RNAcentral
CCUACGGGCGGCAGCAGUGGGGAAUAUUGCGCAAUGGGGGAAACCCUGAUGCAGCGACGCCGCGUGGGUGAAGAAGUUCUUCGGAAUGUAAAGCCCUAUCGGCAGGGAAGAUAAUGACGGUAUCUGACCAAGAAGCCCCGGCUAACUCCGUGCCAGCAGCCGCGGUAAUACGAAGGGGGCAAGCGUUACUCGGAUUUACUGGGAGUAAAGAGCGCGUAGGCGGGAAAGCAAGUCUGGGGUGAAAGACGGGGGCCUAACCCCAGGACUGCUCUUGAAACUGUGUGUCGGGAGUGCGGGAGCGGUAAGUGGAAUUCGUGGUGUAGCGGUGAAAUGCGUAGAGAUGAGGAGGAACACUGGUGGCGAAGGCGGCCUGCUAGAACGUGACUGACGUUGAGGCGCGAAAGCGUGGGGAGCAAACAGGAUUAGAUACCCUGGUAGUC